CUGAGAAGCUAAACAAGGCCAGGCCUGGUUAGUACUUGGAUGGGAGACCGCUGGUAGUACAAGGUGCCACAGU
RNAcentral lists this ribosomal RNA (73 nucleotides) under Periophthalmus magnuspinnatus. Lineage: Eukaryota; Metazoa; Chordata; Actinopteri; Gobiiformes; Gobiidae. The record is from RNAcentral.